RNAcentral lists this ribosomal RNA (422 nucleotides) under uncultured eukaryote. RNAcentral's name for it is "bacterial SSU rRNA". It matches the Rfam family "Eukaryotic small subunit ribosomal RNA", at positions 592 to 1018 of the family's 1831-position model. The record is from RNAcentral.
CAAUAGCGUAUAUUAAAGUUGUUGCGGUUAAAAAGCUCGUAGUUGGAUUUCUGCCGAGGACGACCGGUCCGCCCUCUGGGUGAGCAUCUGGCUCGGCCUGGGCAUCUUCUUGGAGAACGUAUCUGCACUUGACUGUGUGGUGCGGUAUUCAGGACUUUUACUUUGAGGAAAUUAGAGUGUUUCAAGCAGGCAUACGCCUUGAAUACAUUAGCAUGGAAUAAUGGAAUAGGACUUUGGUUCUAUUUUGUUGGUUUCUAGGACCGAAGUAAUGAUUAAUAGGGACAGUUGGGGGCAUUAGUAUUCCGUCGAGAGAGGUGAAAUUCUCAGACCAAUGGAAGACGAACCACUGCGAAAGCAUUUGCCAGGGAUGUUUUCACUGAUCAAGAACGAAAGUUAGGGGAUCGAAGACGAUUAGAUACCAU